GAAAUGCGAUAAGUAAUGCGAAUUGCAGAAUUCAGUGAGUCAUCGAAUCUUUGAACGCACAUUGCGCCCUUUGGUAUUCCGAAGGGCAUGCCUGUUCGAGCGUCAUUAUCAACCCUCAAGCCUGGCUUGUUGUUGGACUUCUCAGGUCGUGGAGACGCGACCGGUCCGAAAGAAAAUGACGGCGUCCGGUUGGACCCUCGGUACAAUGAGUUUCUAGUUAGGCACGUACCGCAGUGGACCACCGUGGCCCGGUCCACCAUUAUUUUUUUACAAGGUUGACCUCGGAUCAGGUAGGAAUACCCGCUGAACUUAA
This 313-nucleotide unclassified non-coding RNA is filed under the name uncultured Ascomycota. RNAcentral describes it as "sequence contains ITS1". The stretch from base 1 to 105 matches the Rfam family "5.8S ribosomal RNA", at positions 50 to 154 of the family's 154-position model. Lineage: Eukaryota; Fungi; Ascomycota. The record is from RNAcentral.